GAUGAACGCUGGCGGCGUGCCUAAUACAUGCAAGUCGAGCGAACAGACAAGGAGCUUGCUCCUUUGACGUUAGCGGCGGACGGGUGAGUAACACGUGGGUAACCUACCUAUAAGACUGGGAUAACUUCGGGAAACCGGAGCUAAUACCGGAUAAUAUUUCGAACCGCAUGGUUCGAUAGUGAAAGAUGGUUUUGCUAUCACUUAUAGAUGGACCCGCGCCGUAUUAGCUAGUUGGUAAGGUAACGGCUUACCAAGGCGACGAUACGUAGCCGACCUGAGAGGGUGAUCGGCCACACUGGAACUGAGACACGGUCCAGACUCCUACGGGAGGCAGCAGUAGGGAAUCUUCCGCAAUAGGCGAAAGCCUGACGGAGCAACGCCGCGUGAGUGAUGAAGGUCUUCGGAUCGUAAAACUCUGUUAUUAGGGAAGAACAUACAUGUAAGUAACUAUGCACGUCUUGACGGUACCUAAUCAGAAAGCCACGGCUAACUACGUGCCAGCAGCCGCGGUAAUACGUAGGUGGCAAGCGUUAUCCGGAAUUAUUGGGCGUAAAGCGCGCGUAGGCGGUUUUUUAAGUCUGAUGUGAAAGCCCACGGCUCAACCGUGGAGGGUCAUUGGAAACUGGAAAACUUGAGUGCAGAAGAGGAAAGUGGAAUUCCAUGUGUAGCGGUGAAAUGCGCAGAGAUAUGGAGGAACACCAGUGGCGAAGGCGACUUUCUGGUCUGUAACUGACGCUGAUGUGCGAAAGCGUGGGGAUCAAACAGGAUUAGAUACCCUGGUAGUCCACGCCGUAAACGAUGAGUGCUAAGUGUUAGGGGGUUUCCGCCCCUUAGUGCUGCAGCUAACGCAUUAAGCACUCCGCCUGGGGAGUACGACCGCAAGGUUGAAACUCAAAGGAAUUGACGGGGACCCGCACAAGCGGUGGAGCAUGUGGUUUAAUUCGAAGCAACGCGAAGAACCUUACCAAAUCUUGACAUCCUUUGACAACUCUAGAGAUAGAGCCUUCCCCUUCGGGGGACAAAGUGACAGGUGGUGCAUGGUUGUCGUCAGCUCGUGUCGUGAGAUGUUGGGUUAAGUCCCGCAACGAGCGCAACCCUUAAGCUUAGUUGCCAUCAUUAAGUUGGGCACUCUAAGUUGACUGCCGGUGACAAACCGGAGGAAGGUGGGGAUGACGUCAAAUCAUCAUGCCCCUUAUGAUUUGGGCUACACACGUGCUACAAUGGACAAUACAAAGGGCAGCGAAACCGCGAGGUCAAGCAAAUCCCAUAAAGUUGUUCUCAGUUCGGAUUGUAGUCUGCAACUCGACUACAUGAAGCUGGAAUCGCUAGUAAUCGUAGAUCAGCAUGCUACGGUGAAUACGUUCCCGGGUCU
RNAcentral lists this ribosomal RNA (1372 nucleotides) under uncultured bacterium. RNAcentral describes it as "bacterial SSU rRNA". It matches the Rfam family "Bacterial small subunit ribosomal RNA", at positions 28 to 1381 of the family's 1533-position model. The record is from RNAcentral.